Molecule: ribosomal RNA, 415 nt
Filed under: uncultured bacterium
Lineage: Bacteria
Description: bacterial SSU rRNA
Rfam family: Bacterial small subunit ribosomal RNA
Source: RNAcentral
ACUCGGGAAUUGCAUCUGAAACUGCUUUGCUUGAGUCCUGGAGGGGGUAGUGGAAUUCCCAGUGUAGCGGUGAAAUGCGUAGAUAUUGGGAGGAACACCUGCGGCGAAGGCGGCUACCUGGACAGUGACUGACGCUGAGGCGCGAAAGCUAGGGGAGCGAACGGGAUUAGAUACCCCGGUAGUCCUAGCCGUAAACGAUGGGCACUUGGUGUUGGGGGUAUUGAGUCCCCCGGUGCCGGAGUUAACACGUUAAGUGCCCCGCCUGGGGAGUACGGUCGCAAGACUGAAACUCAAAGGAAUUGACGGGGGCCCGCACAAGCGGUGGAGCAUGUGGUUUAAUUCGAUGCAACGCGAAGAACCUUACCUACUCUUGACAUCCAGAGAACUUUCCAGAGAUGGAUUGGUGCCUUCGGGA